CAUUUCCACUUACUACAGCUGAAGAGUAGCUGGUGCUGCUAUUAGCUAAGAAAAUAAUAAUAAUCACUAUAAUUCAUAUGAAAUAAGCAAUUUUAUUUUUAACGCGUUUACAAGAAAAAGCUAAAAACAGUUCAUAUUACAAAAAUGACCCAUGAUGACUAUUUAUAAGUUAAGUAUUUAUAAGUAAGACUAUAUACAGUUAUUAAAUAAUAAAGAAAAUGGGAAUGAAAGCAUUGGAUUCAAAUCUGUUUUUACUCAGUUUAUAGAAAAACAGAAGACUAAUGAUAACGAGACUGAAUUUGUAAAAAAUAAAAUUAGUAGAAAAGAAACGGAGUAUAAAUUAGAGAUACAAACGGAUGGUGAACAAAGUAAAGAAAAGAAAAUUCAAGUUGUUCAAACGAAAAGUGAUAAAAUUAAACCAAAGAUGAGAUUAGAAAAAUUAGCCAAUGGUAAAGAGAGUACCAAUGAUGGCUACGACAGUAAUUUUCCAUCUUUUCUGAGAACCAGAACUACUGACAAUUGUUCAUAUUGGUAAUGAUGAGUGGAUACCAGAAAUAGCAUAUAACAGAAUAAAUACCAAAUCAGCAACUGCUCGUCAAUUAGCUGGUAAUAUUCUAAUUGCCGUUUUCGAUGAAGAAAUUCUUCUCAUAAGUACCAUUACGGGAAAUGAGAGUAACAAAAAAGGAAAAGGCAACAGAAACUCUGUUAAAAAAUUGGACGAAAAAAAUCAACGCAUGUGAAAAGUUAUAUGAACAUUUACAAGAAAAGCUUUUUUCAAAGUUUAAGACUUUGCGCAAAAAAAAAUUGCUGACUUAAAAACCGUCAAGGAAGAGUCAACAAGUGGAACCAAAAGAAAGAGGGAUGACCAUAAAGAAAUUACGGCUAAAAGGGUUAAAAAAAUGUUGAAGAGGAUUCCAAUGAAAUUAUUGAUGACAAAUUAAAUGGUGCACCAGUUUCACAAGAAAUCGAUAAAGAUGCACAAGUUCCAGAAGAAAUAGUAGAUAAGGACGAAUUAAAUAAUAAACAGGUUUCACAAGGUGCAGAUAAGGGGACAUUGAAUUUAUCUGAUCAUGAAGAUGAAUUGUUUGAUUGGUCUCCUAAAUCUCAGGAUCAGUCGGAAGAUGCAACACCUGCUGCUAGUUCAGAUGAAGAAUCAUAAAAAUCUUAUAAUUAUUAUUCUGACCUGAUGUACAAAAAGUCUGAUCUUCCGAAGAUUUUAAGAUAUGCUCCGCUAUUUAAUAUAAAACGUUUUCGUAAACAUUAUUAUAA
This is a long non-coding RNA of Nasonia vitripennis (jewel wasp), 1269 nucleotides long. RefSeq lists it as uncharacterized. Lineage: Eukaryota; Metazoa; Arthropoda; Insecta; Hymenoptera; Pteromalidae. The record is from RefSeq and is a predicted model, not a curated record. The transcript is spliced from 4 exons.